AUCUUAGAAACCCUAGCCUCUCUCCUCCUCUCUCAAACCCUAGACUCCGUUCUUGGCGAUUUUGGGGGAAUUUCGAAGGAUUUACACCAGGAUUUUGUGGUGCUGUCGAAGGAGGAUCAAUUUCUCGCAGGUUUAGGAGUUUUGCAGCACAUCAGAGACGAGUAAUAUCUCGCCCAGCCCUACACUCACUGUUUGUAACGAGCCAGGAGCCCGGUGAGUCGCAGGUUGAUGGCGAUGCACUUUAGCUUCAGCCGUUUAUUUUAGUUAUAUUUUUCUUUUGAACUCCACUGUAGAUUGUUGUUAGACAUCUGAGAGUUUAUUCUAGAAGUUGUAAAGGAUUUGUGUCUUAUUUCCUUUUAUUCAGACAUUUGUAUUUGAGACUUGUUGAGAA
Molecule: long non-coding RNA, 391 nt
Organism: Asparagus officinalis (garden asparagus)
Lineage: Eukaryota; Viridiplantae; Streptophyta; Magnoliopsida; Asparagales; Asparagaceae
Exons: 2
Source: RefSeq, a predicted model, not a curated record